Long non-coding RNA from Xenia sp. Carnegie-2017, 651 nucleotides. RefSeq lists it as uncharacterized. The transcript has 4 exons. The record is from RefSeq and is a predicted model, not a curated record. NCBI's taxonomy places the organism in Eukaryota, Metazoa, Cnidaria, Anthozoa, Malacalcyonacea, Xeniidae.
UUUGUUGCAAGAAAACGCGCUCAAUGGACACCGACUAAGUAUUCGGCUGUUUAUUAUUGUGAUGGCAAGGAAACUUGGGCAAAGUUCAAAUCUUUCCUGAGUCACAUAGUAGACAAGCACACCAAUUUGGAUAAUCCACUGUUUUCAAGUUGUUUUAAUGGCCCUGAUAUUAAACCAAGGGAAUAUUUGUUAGAAGGUUCAGUUGCUCAUGAAAAGCUUAGUGCUAAAUUGUUAAACCCACAGCUGAUGAAGUCAAUUCACCAGGCUUCACCAGUUGCUCAAACAAGUUGUUUGGAAAUAUUCCUUUCUGUCCUGAAUCAUUUUGCUCCAAAAAUGAUUCAUUAUUCCUAUGUUGGAAUGUAUUGCAGAGUAUGUGGAUGAAUUAUUUGAGAGUGUGAUGCUGUCAAUAAAAGACAAAAACGCAUUAUCAAAUUCACAAAAUCUUUUGAAAGAAAUGUCCCCACCACCAAUGAAUGUCAUGCUGCAAAAGCAACCCAGAGCUGAGGUGUUACUAAAACAGGUCCGUUGAAAAUGCUUUGUGGUCAAUGAUGUCCCUCCCUCAAUUCCAGCAGCUACCAGUGUGCCAUUCAGCUGUCAGUCAAAAGUGGCAGUUUCAAAAGAAAAGAGUCAGCCAAAAUGUUUGACAUGCAA